GACGAACGCUGGCGGCGUGCUUAACACAUGCAAGUCGAACGGAAAGGCCCUGCUUUUGUGGGGUGCUCGAGUGGCGAACGGGUGAGUAACACGCGAGUAACCUGCCCUUGACUUUGGGAUAACUUCUCGAAACUGGGGCUAAUAUCGGAUAGGAGCUCCUGCUGCAUGGUGGGGGUUGGAAAGUUUCGGCGGUGGGGGCUGGACUCGCGGCUUAUCCGCUUGUUGGUGGGGUAGUGGCUUACCAAGGCUUUGACGGGUAGCCGGCCUGAGAGGGUGACCGGCGACAUUGGGACUGCGGGACGGCGCAGACGCCUACGGGAGGCAGCAGGGGGGAAUAUGGCGCAAUGGGCGGAAGCCUGAGGCAGCAACGCCGCGUGCGGGAUGACGGCCUUCGGGGUGUAAACCGCUUUCGCCGGUGACGAAGCGGGAGUGACGGUAAUGGGUAAAGAAGCACCGGCUAACUACGUG
Molecule: ribosomal RNA, 468 nt
Filed under: uncultured bacterium
Lineage: Bacteria
Description: partial 16S ribosomal RNA
Rfam family: Bacterial small subunit ribosomal RNA
Source: RNAcentral